CCUACGGGAGGCUGCAGUGAGGAAUCUUGGUCAAUGGACGAGAGUCUGAACCAGCCAAGUCGCGUGAAGGAUGACUGCCCUAUGGGUUGUAAACUUCUUUUAUAUGGGAAUAAAAUGUUCCACGUGUGGGAUUUUGUAUGUACCAUAUGAAUAAGGAUCGGCUAACUCCGUGCCAGCAGCCGCGGUAAUACGGAGGAUCCGAGCGUUAUCCGGAUUUAUUGGGUUUAAAGGGAGCGUAGGUGGAUUGUUAAGUCAGUUGUGAAAGUUUGCGGCUCAACCGUAAAAUUGCAGUUGAAACUGGCAGUCUUGAGUACAGUAGAGGUGAGCGGAAUGCGUGGUGUAGCGGUGAAAUGCUUAGAUAUCACGAAGAACUCCGAUUGCGAAGGCAGCUUACUGGACUGCAACUGACACUGAGGCUCGAAAGUGUGGGUAUCAAACAGGAUUAGAUACCCGAGUAGUC
This 460-nucleotide ribosomal RNA is filed under the name uncultured bacterium. Its description in RNAcentral is "partial 16S ribosomal RNA". It matches the Rfam family "Bacterial small subunit ribosomal RNA", at positions 338 to 795 of the family's 1533-position model. The record is from RNAcentral.